UACGGGGGGUGCGAGCGUUGUCCGGAAUCACUGGGCGUAAAGCGCACGUAGGCGGCUUUCUAAGUCAGGGGUGAAAUCCUGGAGCUCAACUCCAGAACUGCCUUUGAUACUGGAGAGCUUGAGUCCGGGAGAGGUGAGUGGAACUCCGAGUGUAGAGGUGAAAUUCGUAGAUAUUCGGAAGAACACCAGUGGCGAAGGCGGCUCACUGGCCCGGUACUGACGCUGAGGUGCGAAAGCGUGGGGAGCAAACAGG
Molecule: ribosomal RNA, 253 nt
Filed under: uncultured bacterium
Lineage: Bacteria
Description: partial 16S ribosomal RNA
Rfam family: Bacterial small subunit ribosomal RNA
Source: RNAcentral